UACGGAGGGUGCAAGCGUUGCUCGGAAUUAUUGGGCGUAAAGGGGAGGUAGGUGGUCUCGUUUGUCUGGGGUGAAAUCCCUGAGCUUAACUCAGGACGUGCCUCGGAAACGGCGAGACUGGAGUACUGGAGAGGCUAGCGGAAUACCCGGUGUAGCGGUGAAAUGCGUAGAGAUCGGGUGGAACACCAGAGGCGAAGGCGGCUAGCUGGACAGUUACUGACACUCAACUCCGAAAGCGUGGGGAGCAAACAGG
Molecule: ribosomal RNA, 253 nt
Filed under: uncultured bacterium
Lineage: Bacteria
Description: partial 16S ribosomal RNA
Rfam family: Bacterial small subunit ribosomal RNA
Source: RNAcentral